GACGAACGCUGGCGGCGUGCUUAACACAUGCAAGUCGAACGGAAAGGCCCUGCUUUUGUGUUUUGCUCGAUUGGCGCACGGGUGAGUAACACGUGAGUAUCCUGCCCUUGACUUUGGGAUAACUUCAGGAAACUGGGGCUAAUACCGGAUAUGAUCUCCUGCUGCAUGGUGGUGGUUGGAAAGUUUCGGCGGUUGGGGAUGUACUCGCUGCUUAUCAGCUUGUUUGUGUGGUAGUGGUUUACCAAGGCUUUGACGGCUAGCCGGCCUGAGAGGGGUAACGGGGACAAGGGGACUAAGAGACGGACCAGAAUGCAACGGGAGGCAGCAGGGGGGAAUAUUGCAGAAUGGGCGGAAGCGUGAGGCAGAAAUGCCGCGAGCGGGAUAAAGGCCUUCGGGGUGUAAACAGAUGUGGACUGUGACGAAGAGUGAGUGACGGUAAUGGGUAAAGAAGCAACGGCUAACUACGUG
Molecule: ribosomal RNA, 468 nt
Filed under: uncultured bacterium
Lineage: Bacteria
Description: partial 16S ribosomal RNA
Rfam family: Bacterial small subunit ribosomal RNA
Source: RNAcentral